UACAAAUUAAUGAUCCUAAACAUUUAUUUAAUUUUAAAUACUUAGUUAAAAUAAUUUCGAACUUUAUGAACUUUACGAAUAUUGCUUUACGAAACUUUUCUAGUCUGUCGUUAGGUGGAGCCAAAUUCACAACACAACAUAACCUUAAUAGAAAUAUGAAGGGAGUAAAGCGUAACUUCCUACUGACUCCGGCAGAUAGCGCAGCGAUUGGCAGCGACUGUUAGAUUAAUGACGUAGCAAGUUUGCAUAUAUACUUGUAUGAUUAUAUUAAAGUUUGAUGAAGUCAUGAUUACGAUAAUAGUAUUGCACAUGUUCAAUAUUGCAAGUUGUACAUAAAUCAGAUGUGGUAUAUAUUCUCAGCAAGAAAUCCGUAAGCUGUAUUAUACAAAGAGCUACUUUUGUGCAUAGUUCUUGAAAUAUUUCAUUCCAAUUUGUAAUUAUUUAUAUUUUUAAUUUGUUAAAAGUAUUCGUUAUAUUAACGAGUGACAAAUUCAAGUUAUAUGUAUUUGGUUUUUUUCUGUGAUAAAGCUUAUUCAAUAAUUGUGAUUAGAGCUUAUAAAAAAGACAGAUUUUCUACAUAUCAAAAUAUGGAAUUUCCCAAUUUAGGAGAACAUUGUUCAGAGCAAACUUGCAAUCGUUUAGACUUUUUACCUUUAAAAUGUGAUGCUUGUGAAGCUAUAUUUUGCACGGAUCAUAUAUCGUAUAUAAAUCAUUCCUGUCCUAGCGCUUAUAAAAAAGAUAUACAGGUGCCAGUGUGCCCCUUGUGCAACAACCCGGUUCCACAAAAACGAGGGGAUCCUCCAGACUUGGCUGUGAGCAUGCAUAUAGACAGCGACUGCCAAUCUGAUGUUAGAAAUGAUCGUAGAAAAAUAUUUUCCAAUAAGUGUUCAUCUAAAGGAUGCAAAGUUAAAGAAAUAGUGCAGGUCAAAUGCAACGACUGUGGAAGUAAUUUUUGUUUGAAGCAUAGACAUCCUAGCGAUCAUGCAUGUAUUGGCAAAGAGGAAGCAGUUAGACUUAAAAGAUUGAGUAAUCUGAAUAAACGUACUAUGGCUUCGCAGAACGAUAAUCACAAUAAUUCUGUUGUAUUCCGUAACCUUCAAGGUACAAUGAGUGAAGAUGAAGCUUUGGCUAGAGCAUUGCAGGCUUCAUUACAAGACGAAGGAAAAAAUACUCGGCAAGGGUUACAGCCAGUGCCUUCUGCACAUAGAAACAGAUGCAGACUUUCUUAAUUCUAAUGCAUCAUUGUUAAUAAUCAAUUUAAAAUUUAACAAAAUACUGCGGUUUAAAACCUUCAUUAAAAAGAGUACAUUUCUACUGUGUCUUACAUACAAUAUUUCAGUAAUUAAGUAGGCGUACCCAUUUUCUACAAUUUAAGCACGUUAGAAUAUAAAAACACAAUUUUUAUGCGAAAAUAAUAAUAUUUAUCAAUUAAUUAAGCAAUGAAUUACAGCUGUAUCGGAUGCUAAAUCUUUUGGAUAUAUCUUUAAGUAAUAUGCAUAUUCAAAUAUCUUACAAUUAGAUUGAAAAUAUUUUAUAUC
Molecule: unclassified non-coding RNA, 1538 nt
Filed under: Polistes dominula (European paper wasp)
Lineage: Eukaryota; Metazoa; Arthropoda; Insecta; Hymenoptera; Vespidae
Description: aN1-type zinc finger protein 2A-like, transcript variant X2
Source: RNAcentral